Molecule: long non-coding RNA, 329 nt
Organism: Dreissena polymorpha
Lineage: Eukaryota; Metazoa; Mollusca; Bivalvia; Myida; Dreissenidae
Exons: 3
Source: RefSeq, a predicted model, not a curated record
AAAUGAUAUCGACUGGAAAUACAUCUUGAAUAGCUGCUUCAGUGCUGCACUGCCAACAUGAAUGUACAGAUCAUGGCAAUAAUGGCGGUGUUGUUGUUGUUUUUCCUUGGCGUGGCUACAGUGUCAGGUGAACCUUGGUACCGUCGUGGUCACGACGGGCGUGAUAAUGACUGGAAUAACGGCUUGGGUGACCGUGAGAACGGUUGGGACAGGAAUGGCUGGGAUUCGAGCCGAUAGGGACGUAGCCUUCGGCGUACAUUUGGAGAGUUUGCAACUUUUUAUAUUGCUACUGUUUUUAAGAAUAAAUAAAAGUUUGCAUUUAUAAAUAA